This is a non-coding RNA of Apis mellifera (honey bee), 87 nucleotides long. The record is from RefSeq and is marked provisional. Lineage: Eukaryota; Metazoa; Arthropoda; Insecta; Hymenoptera; Apidae.
UCAACGUGUAGUUAUCGGAAAAACAGAGUUCGGAAGAGAUCAAGAGAUCUAAUAUGACUUUCGUGUUUUCCCAACUCACUUGCAAAA